CUACGGGUUGCUCCAGUGGGGAAUAUUGGACAAUGGGGGAAACCCUGAUCCAGCAAUGCCGCGUGUGUGAAGAAGGCCUGCGGGUCGUAAAGCACUUUCGGUUGGGAGGACUGCUUCUAGCACUAAUAUUGUUGGAAGUUGACGUUACCUUCAGAAGAAGCACCGGCUAACUCCGUGCCAGCAGCCGCGGUAAUACGGAGGGUGCAUGCGUUAAUCGGAAUUACUGGGCGUAAAGCGCGCGUAGGCGGCUAGAUCAGUCGGGUGUGAAAGCCCCGGGCUUAACCAGGGAACUGCAUCCGAUACUGUCUAGAUUGAGUACAGGAGAGGAGAGUGGAAUUCCACAUGUAGCGGUGAAAUGCGUAGAUAUGUGGAGGAACACCAAUGGCGAAGGCAGCUCUCUGGCCUGAUACUGACGCUGAGGUGCGAAAGCGUGGGGAGCAAACAGGAUUAGAUACCCCAGUAGUC
RNAcentral lists this ribosomal RNA (465 nucleotides) under uncultured bacterium. RNAcentral describes it as "partial 16S ribosomal RNA". It matches the Rfam family "Bacterial small subunit ribosomal RNA", at positions 339 to 795 of the family's 1533-position model. The record is from RNAcentral.